UCUGACGGAGCAACGCCGCGUGAGUGAUGAAGGUUUUCGGAUCGUAAAGCUCUGUUGUUAGGGAAGAACAAGUGCCGUUCAAAUAGGGCGGCACCUUGACGGUACCUAACCAGAAAGCCACGGCUAACUACGUGCCAGCAGCCGCGGUAAUACGUAGGUGGCAAGCGUUGUCCGGAAUUAUUGGGCGUAAAGGGCUCGCAGGCGGUUUCUUAAGUCUGAUGUGAAAGCCCCCGGCUCAACCGGGGAGGGUCAUUGGAAACUGGGGAACUUGAGUGCAGAAGAGGAGAGUGGAAUUCCACGUGUAGCGGUGAAAUGCGUAGAGAUGUGGAGGAACACCAGUGGCGAAGGCGACUCUCUGGUCUGUAACUGACGCUGAGGAGCGAAAGCGUGGGGAGCGAACAGGAUUAGAUACCCUGGUAGUCCACGCCGUAAACGAUGAGUGCUAAGUGUUAGGGGGUUUCCGCCCCUUAGUGCUGCAGCUAACGCAUUAAGCACUCCGCCUGGGGAGUACGGUCGCAAGACUGAAACUCAAAGGAAUUGACGGGGGCCCGCACAAGCGGUGGAGCAUGUGGUUUAAUUCGAAGCAACGCGAAGAACCUUACCAGGUCUUGACAUCCUCUGACAAUCCUAGAGAUAGGACGUCCCCUUCGGGGGCAGAGUGACAGGUGGUGCAUGGUUGUCGUCAGCUCGUGUCGUGAGAUGUUGGGUUAAGUCCCGCAACGAGCGCAACCCUUGAUCUUAGUUGCCAGCAUUCAGUUGGGCACUCUAAGGUGACUGCCGGUGACAAACCGGAGGAAGGUGGGGAUGACGUCAAAUCAUCAUGCCCCUUAUGACCUGGGCUACACACGUGCUACAAUGGACAGAACAAAGGGCAGCGAAACCGCGAGGUUAAGCCAAUCCCACAAAUCUGUUCUCAGUUCGGAUCGCAGUCUGCAACUCGACUGCGUGAAGCUGGA
Molecule: ribosomal RNA, 956 nt
Filed under: Bacillus velezensis
Lineage: Bacteria; Bacillati; Bacillota; Bacilli; Caryophanales; Bacillaceae
Description: bacterial SSU rRNA
Rfam family: Bacterial small subunit ribosomal RNA
Source: RNAcentral